Long non-coding RNA from Rhagoletis zephyria (snowberry fruit fly), 993 nucleotides. RefSeq lists it as uncharacterized. NCBI's taxonomy places the organism in Eukaryota, Metazoa, Arthropoda, Insecta, Diptera, Tephritidae. The record is from RefSeq and is a predicted model, not a curated record.
AUUCAAAUUUCUCAGAACUUUGACAACAGAGCAAAACAAAGCGAGAUAUGUUGAGCCAACAAAGAAGGCGCAGUUGGAAAAUGGAGUAAUUAGUAAUGAAGUAGCAGGCAUAUUUGGAAAAUUAUGCCGAUAAGCAGGAUGGAAUUUGGGAAAAAGUGUUAUAAAUCGAGUAGCUCAUUUACGAUGUUCUCCAAACAUUUGGCGAACUUUUUUUCGCCUUUUCAACGUGCUAAGUAACAAGUUAAGAUGACUGCCAUCACGGCCGGUAAGAAACCGCAAGCAAAGGGCAGACAACCUUCCUGGAAGCUGCCUCCUGUCCCCGAGUCGAAGCUGCAGUUCAGCAAGAGCAGGUCAGCAAAUUGCUACCCUGAUCAAACGUCAACUAAAGCGCUCUGCUGUGAUUGCACUCCGUAAACGUGAAAACUAGGUGCAUGCUGAGAAAUAUCAAACAAGAAAACUCCGUGAUGGACGCCGUGAGAUGGAGUUGGCCUGAAAAAUCCAAAUUGGCUUUUGUGAUCCGUAUCCGCGGUAUCAACAAAGUUGCACAAAAAGUGCGUAAAGUUUUACAGUUCCGUCUUCGCCACAUUAAAACGGUGUGUUCAUCAAAUUGAGCAAGGCAACCAUUAAUAUGCUACGUAUGCCGAACCCUAUAUGGGGUUAUCCAAAUCUUAAAUCAGUUCGUGAAUUGAUGUACAAACGUGGAAUUGUUAAGCACAACCAUCAACGUGUCCCAAUCUCUGCUUCGUGAUCGAACGCAAAUUUCGCGUAGCCCACGAAAUUCAGUGCGUUGAUUAUUUGGCGCACGAAAUAUUCACUGUUGGAACCCACUUCAAGAAAGCCUCCAACUUCCUGUUACUAUUCAAGCUCAACACGAUCAACCCGAGGCCGGCGCAAGAAGGCUAAUCACUACGUUGAGGUUGGUGAUUUCGGUAGCCGUGAGGAUAAUAUCAACAAAUUGCUGCACAAGAUGGCUUAAAGAAAUUUUUGUUUUGU